Molecule: ribosomal RNA, 429 nt
Filed under: Chloroflexota bacterium
Lineage: Bacteria; Bacillati; Chloroflexota
Description: Chloroflexi bacterium partial 16S ribosomal RNA
Rfam family: Bacterial small subunit ribosomal RNA
Source: RNAcentral
UGGGGAAUAUUGCACAAUGGGCGCAAGCCUGAUGCAGCCAUGACGCGUGUAUGAAGAAGGCCUUCGGGUUGUAAAGUACUUUCAGUCGGGAGGAAGGUGUCAAGGUUAAUAACCUUGGCAAUUGACGUUACCGACAGAAGAAGCACCGGCUAACUCCGUGCCAGCAGCCGCGGUAAUACGGAGGGUGCAAGCGUUAAUCGGAAUUACUGGGCGUAAAGCGCACGCAGGCGGUUGAUUGAGUCAGAUGUGAAAUCCCCGGGCUUAACCCGGGAAUUGCAUCUGAUACUGGUCAGCUAGAGUCUUGUAGAGGGGGGUAGAAUUCCAUGUGUAGCGGUGAAAUGCGUAGAGAUGUGGAGGAAUACCGGUGGCGAAGGCGGCCCCCUGGACAAAGACUGACGCUCAGGUGCGAAAGCGUGGGGAGCAAACAGG